Long non-coding RNA from Miniopterus natalensis, 1645 nucleotides. RefSeq lists it as uncharacterized. Lineage: Eukaryota; Metazoa; Chordata; Mammalia; Chiroptera; Miniopteridae. The record is from RefSeq and is a predicted model, not a curated record.
AAUAAUUGACAUAAAAUUUCUAAACACUUUACAAAACUUUUGUUAAAAUUAAAUGGUAACUGGAGAACAAUGUUAAGGUGAUCAUUAAAAUAGAAAAAUGCUUUACGAUGGAUUAUUAUGAUAGUGAUGUCUCACUGCCAAAAUAUAGCAUGUUUACAGAUCCUUGUAUAAAAUAUGCAUAUUAAUAUAAAACACUUCUAUAAGAAUUAACACCGAUGAAUGAAAAUGCUAGUUAUUAGUAUGCAGGUUAGAAGAUUUAAGUAGGGUUAUUUUGUGCUAUUCAGAAAAAAGUCUUUUACAUUUUGCAUUAUCUUAAAAGAACAAGAAGAUAUAGAUUAAGAAUGAGGCAUCACUUACAGAAAAUAUUGUUACGCAUUGUUUCCUUGGCAAGACGUGUGUGUAAUCUUGCAGUAAAAUUUUUAAAUAGGACAGGCAAUACUCUGAGUUGAUUUAAGAGGUGUCUGAAAUGAAGGAUAGGGGAUGAGCUCAGAGAAACUGCAAAUUGCAAUUUUCUUUUUUUAAAGGAAGAAUUAAUAAAUCCUAGCUAUCAAAUCUCUUCCUAUCUGAACACAGGAACCUAAUGGACUAGAAUAAGUGGUAGCUAAACUCUCAUAAUCUGGACUCAGGAACAAAACUGAGUAAGAUAAUACAGGAUACUUAUGUCUUAUUACAGAUUAAGCAAAAUUGAAAGGAGAAAGGAGCCUAAGAAAACCAGUCUCAUUUUGUCAAGUGCAGAGCAUUCCUCUGUCUCCUGGGCACGCAGCUAGACCAUUUACCUCAACCUGCCUUGAAGACCAACCCCUCCAGGCUUUCUCUAGCCAGGCUCUCCCUGGCACCCGUGAAACGCUGCAUGAAAGGGGCAGAAGGACUGAAAUUCAUUUAAAUGGAGUCAUUUUGCACAUGUGACCCGGCUUGAUGUGAAGCUAUCUAUCAGAGCCUUCCAGAAACUGCCAAGCUCAACCACUUGGAAAAUAGACAGCAAGGCAGAAACUCAUCAAGAAAACGCAAAUUUUUCUUUAGUGUGCUCAGAGAUGCAAGGUUGAGAAAUAUUUUCCUAACAUCUCAGCUUACUGUGGAACACUCUCUGAAAAUGCCAGGUAACGAGACAUCACUUUAUUUAAAAAGAAAGUUCAUAUUUGUACAUAUUCUCUGCCAUCCUGGGCCAUUCUGAGAAGUAAGCAUUUUUUAAAUAACUAGUGUAAUGUGUUUCCAUUAGAUUUCGGGUUUUCCAAAGAGUUUCCAUCUUAGUCUUGUCAUAUUGUUUUCAGUUAGGAGAUGAUGGGAUUGAUGAAGGUGAAAUCCCAGGGGUCACACAAUCUUGAAAUGACUAACUUUGUUGUCUACGCAGAGUCAUUGCCAGAGCCAGAAAUGAAGUCCAGUUUCCCCAAGACCUGCCUCCUUUGUUGCUGCUGCCUUCUCAUGUGAAAAGGCACAAGGCCACGCAUCUUCUUUUGGAGCAGGAGGCCCGUCUGAUGCAGUCUGAGAAACGGUGUCAACAGGGGUUCCUGUUAUGCCAACGUCUGGGAAACUGCAUCUUCUAUCAAGAGCCCAGGAUGCUGGUCUCUGAGUGGACCAUUUUGUCUCUGGAAAAACUGGGAAGUCAUCAUAACAUAAUCAAAUACAAUAUCCUGAGAUUAAAAAAAAA